GCCCGAUGGAUCCGUUGGGCGAGGCGGCCUUCUUGGACUGACACUGACACUGAGGUGCGAAAGCGUGGGUAGCAAACAGGAUUAGAUACCCUGGUAGUCCACGCCGUAAACGAUGUCAACUAGCCGUUGGGUCCCUUGAGGACUUAGUGGCGCAGCUAACGCAAUAAGUUGACCGCCUGGGGAGUACGGCCGCAAGGUUAAAACUCAAAUGAAUUGACGGGGGCCCGCACAAGCGGUGGAGCAUGUGGUUUAAUUCGAUGCAACGCGAAGAACCUUACCUACCCUUGACAUCCAGAGGACUUUCCAGAGAUGGAUUGGUGCCUUCGGGAACUCUGAGACAGGUGCUGCAUGGCUGUCGUCAGCUCGUGUUGUGAAAUGUUGGGUUAAGUCCCGUAACGAGCGCAACCCCUAUCCUUAUUUGCCAGCGAGUAAUGUCGGGAACUCUAAGGAGACUGCCGGUGACAAACCGGAGGAAGGUGGGGACGACGUCAAGUCAUCAUGGCCCUUACGGGUAGGGCUACACACGUGCUACAAUGGCAAGUACAAAGGGUUGCAAUACUGCGAAGUGGAGCCAAUCCCAUAAAGCUUGCCUCAGUCCGGAUUGGAGUCUGCAACUCGACUCCAUGAAGUCGGAAUCGCUAGUAAUCGUGGAUCAGAAUGCCACGGUGAAUACGUUCCCGGGCCUUGUACACACCGCCCGUCACACCAUGGGAGUGGACUGCACCAGAAGUGGUUAGCCUAACCUUCGGGAGGGCGAUCACCACGGUGUGGUUCAUGACUGGGGUGAAGUCGUACCAAGGUAACCA
This 806-nucleotide ribosomal RNA is filed under the name uncultured Cobetia sp. RNAcentral's name for it is "bacterial SSU rRNA". It matches the Rfam family "Bacterial small subunit ribosomal RNA", at positions 696 to 1502 of the family's 1533-position model. The record is from RNAcentral. Lineage: Bacteria; Pseudomonadati; Pseudomonadota; Gammaproteobacteria; Oceanospirillales; Halomonadaceae.